ACGAACCGUCCAAACGUUAUUCGGAAUCACUGGGCUUAAAGGGUGCGUAGGCGGCUCGAAAAGUUGGGUGUGAAAGCCCUCGGCUCAACCGAGGAACUGCGCCCAAAACUGUCGGGCUCGAGGAAGACAGAGGUGAGCGGAACUUAGGGUGGAGCGGUGAAAUGCGUUGAUAUCCUAAGGAACACCAGUAGCGAAAGCGGCUCACUGGGUCUUUUCUGACGCUGAUGCACGAAAGCUAGGGGAGCGAAGAG
Molecule: ribosomal RNA, 251 nt
Filed under: uncultured prokaryote
Description: partial 16S rRNA
Rfam family: Bacterial small subunit ribosomal RNA
Source: RNAcentral